Molecule: non-coding RNA, 133 nt
Organism: Triticum aestivum (bread wheat)
Lineage: Eukaryota; Viridiplantae; Streptophyta; Magnoliopsida; Poales; Poaceae
Source: Rfam
AUAUCUUUCUCGACCUUUUGGCUAAGAUCAAGUGCAGUAUCUGUUUGAUAUGUGGGCUAAGUGUCAGGGAGGGUCCAUCAGAAUAGCUUGCUAUUGGGGCCCUCAAGUGUAGUCCGGGCGUUGCACCCUAUAA